UCCCUGGUGGUCUAUUGGUUAGGACUCAGUGCUUUCACUGCUGUGGCCCAGGUUUGAUCCCUGGUCUGGGAA
RNAcentral lists this transfer RNA (72 nucleotides) under Sus scrofa (pig). It matches the Rfam family "tRNA". Rfam says of the family: Transfer RNA (tRNA) molecules are approximately 80 nucleotides in length. Their secondary structure includes four short double-helical elements and three loops (D, anti-codon, and T loops). The record is from Rfam by way of RNAcentral. Lineage: Eukaryota; Metazoa; Chordata; Mammalia; Artiodactyla; Suidae.